This 433-nucleotide ribosomal RNA is filed under the name uncultured bacterium. RNAcentral describes it as "partial 16S ribosomal RNA". It matches the Rfam family "Bacterial small subunit ribosomal RNA", at positions 29 to 507 of the family's 1533-position model. The record is from RNAcentral.
AACGAACGCUGGCGGCAUGCCUAAUACAUGCAAGUCGAACGAGAUCUUCGGAUCUAGUGGCGCACGGGUGCGUAACGCGUGGGAAUCUGCCCUUGGGUUCGGAAUAACUUCUGGAAACGGAAGCUAAUACCGGAUGAUGACGUAAGUCCAAAGAUUGAUCGCCCAAGGAUGAGCCCGCGUAGGAUUAGGUAGUUGGUGAGGUAAAGGCUCACCAAGCCGUCGAUCCUUAGCUGGUCUGAGAGGAAGAUCAGCCACACUGGGACGGGGACACGGCCCGGACUCCUACGGGAGGCAGCAGUAGGGGAUAUUGGACAAUGGGCGGAAGGCUGAACCAGCUAUGCCGCGUGAGUGAUGAAGGCCUUAGGGUUGUAAAGCUCUUUUACCCGCGAUGAUAAUGACGGUACCGGGAGAAUAAGCACCGGCUAACUCCGUG